CCUCCUCCUCUCCACUCCUCUCCGAAAAGGACAAAUAAAACGAUCAAUCCAAAGCUUUUUUUUUCUUAAAAAAAAAAAGAAAAAAUGAUGAUAAUGUGAAUUCAAAAUGUAAAACUUUCACCUCCUUUUACGGGAUUUACGGAAACUUCGGCUUAGUGGCUAUACAUUUUGCACUAGAAACUAGCUACCACUUCUUUUACUCUACAUUAAUUAGGUUUAAUUAGGGUCUUUUUAUAUGAUGACCAUCCUAAUUUUAGGUUGUCUUUUGAGAGCAAUAAAUUUUGUUAAAGGACAACAAAUUUGUUUAUUAUGCUAUCAGUUAGCUUGCAUAGGACAAGCUUAGUACGCCAUAGGUUGGACUAGUCAAAGUCUUAAUUCAUAUGUGUAUUUAUUUAAGCAACAAGGAACCAAGAAUAAUUUAUUUUAUGGGCCCUAAUUAAUGCCUCAAUACUUAACUAUCAAACAAUCACAUGAACUAUUAUAAAAUCCAUUUUAAAAAAAAAACAAAAAACGAAAAAACUUAUCUAUUGUAACAAUAAACCAUUUGACAAAUAAAAUGUUUCAAGUAGCAACAUCUUUCUAAUCAUGCCCAGCCUUCUAAAAUUUCUGGGAAAAUUUUUUGUAUCAGCCACAAAAAUGUCGUUUGUUCAUCGUAUUUUCACUUAACACAUUAGUACAAAACACUUUUAUAUCUUAUUAUUUUGUAGUUCUUAAUUAUUAAAAUAUAUUAUGUCUGCAAAAAAUAUAAUUGUUAUAUUCAUUUAGUUUACUCAAAACAGUUUCAAGGUAUAUAUCAUUUUAAUAAUGAAAUUCUAAUUUGUUAUAAAAUGUUAGAAAUCAAACUGCUAAAAAAAUUUAGGAACUAUGUAAGGUUUGAGUGAAAUUAAUGUACAAUGCCGAUCGAGCGUACUGAAGUUUGAGUAUUUAUCCUGUUUUUAAGUUUUCUCAAUUUCUCCAAAUCUAUUUUCUGAAAAAUUAUAUCCGAUGUUACUUUGCGAUUUUAGUGUUGCCAAGUAUUUUUCAUUCUUUUUUCUUUCUUUCUUUUUUUUUUUCUUUUGAGGAGGAGAUUAAUUUCCAACAAAAUUUUCAGAAAUUUCAUAAUAAAAUUUAAUUUUUGUGACAAUGGCAUAAUGGAUUGAGAAGGCCCGACAUAUAUAUUUGUUUGUUUCUGAAGUUUUAGUCGAUAUUAUGAUGAGCAGAUGCUAUAAUAUGUGGUCCACUAGAAUUAUUUAAUUAUACUAUGGACAAGUGUACUCCUACCAGUCGAUAUCCUUCUUGAGAUAUUUUUAUUUUUUACUUUUUUUAUUUUUUUAUUUUUUGUGUUCGUGUGUGUGUGCGCGUGUAAUGAGAACUCAACUCUAGUUGCUUUUGAUGGUUUCUGAUAUGAAGAUAAGAAUUACACUAUGAACUAUAAGCUGCCACAUUUAAAUUCAAGUUCGGUAUAAAUGUUCUCAUUUUCUCUCUUGGAUUUCAGAAAACUCAAUUACAAAACUUGUUUGGUGUUUUUCAUGGCAGAAUUCUGAAAAGUUUGGACAAAAAACAGUAAUUAGUCAUUCAGAUCAAAGUAAAAAACAAGUUCUUUGACUUAAAGAACAAAUACAGAAGAGCAGAGAUCUCCAUCGUAGUACUAACAGAUCUUGUACUAUAUCUCCACUACGGUUGCUGAAUCUUGCAAGCGAAGAACAAUGUUUGUGUACGAAAACUUCGUUUCCUAAGCGGCUGAAUUUUCUAUUUCAGUAGGACCCUCUCCGACUGGCCAAUUUGGUUCAGUGUCUGUUUUGCUGAUCCAAGAAAGAAAAAUGCAUGUUGAGUGAAAUUAUCUGUUGUGAUACACUUAGGAUGUUUCUGAUUUUAGAACAGCUUCGGCUUAUUUCGUAUAGCUUCCACAUAACUCAUAGUUUAAGAUGAAUUAUACUAGUUAGCUGCAGAAGUUAGUUAAGCAGGGAAGCAAAUGUUGAUGUAACCAUCUUUGCGAGUAUCUUAUUUUCAGUCAUGUUAAUCUGUGAGCAAGAUUCAGAACUUUGGAUACUUCUGUAUGUCAGUGUCUAAAGGCAACUGGAAUUUUUGGGUUGCUUAAUCUCUUAUUUUUCGUUGCUGAGAGGUACCGAGUGCAAGGCAUAAUUUCAGAGAUGUUGUAUGUGAAUGCAAUUUCAUUAUAAACUCUAGUAUCUUUUGUAGAUAUUUGUUAUUCAAUAUUUACUGUCGCUUCGAACGUAACAUUGGGUAUCCUUUCAUUCUGUCACUUUAAGUGUGUCCUGGAAAUUCCCUUUUCCUUUGAAAUUGCAUUCUGAUUACUUUCAUGUCUUGCUAUUGUUUUUCCGCCUUUUUUUCCUUCCAUUUUUUCUUUUUUUUAACUACACAGCUUUAAGUAUAGCUAUUCUUCGAGUUUUCAUCCGUAUAACAGCAAAUUUUAAGCUCUACAGUACUUGGUUUUUCCAUUCUUAUCUCUGAAAGUGCUUAUUUUCUUUGUGAAACUCAUGGAUUAGGCGUGUCUCAAGUAAUAGGAUCAAAUCUUCUCCCUCUUGUAGCUUGUAACAAAUUAAACAUGAAUGCGUGCCGACUUAACCCAGUGUCUGAUUUUCCUCAUAUAGGAGAUUCGCUCAAUCGGACAAAUAAGGAAAGGAAACUCGUAUAGAGACAAUAUGAUGGCAUUAACAUUGGCGACAACAGGUUCUGAUGAAAAGAAGUAAAGGGUCAAUUUAAAUUGGGAAUGAUGGUAGAUCAAAUACUCUCGAUUGAGUGGCGGUCAAGUAGACACUAAAGACAACUAAUUAAAUCGAAGAGUACGUAAAUGCAAGGAAGGUAUGUACAAGAAGAUUGAUCUAUCGAAUUACUUGUCGAAAGUUAAGGACACAAAGGUAAACAAACUAGUAUGAGGAAGCAUUGUUUAGUCCUAUACCCUUCAUUAAGAUCAACUACCUACGUUGUACAUUUGUAACAAUGAAUUCGGAUUAGCUGCUACAAGUCAUAUGACAGAAGAUCUGCUGUUUCCUUAUUGAUGUAAGUGGUUAAUUUGAUUUCCUGUCAUAAGAAUCAUGACUGUUGCAGCUAAAUUCCUGAUUUGCCAUGACGCAAGCAGUAAAGAUUUUCUGUAGGAUAGAGUUGUUAAUAGUUUUUGUUUAGUGUCCCAAAUAAUGAAUUUUCUAGUCAAUUGAUUGCUUUGAACUCGGAAUUUGCAGGUGUUACAAGGGGUUUCAAGUACAUUUAUAAAAGAAAAGCACAAUGAACACAAGGACCACUGUAGUAUUGCACCUUAAAAUGGACGGCGUAAUCAUCAAUUUAUCCCCCAAAUUGAAAAUUUGUUUUGCAUUAGACAUGAUAACAUCUCAAUUUAACGCGAAGACCACUGUCUGUCUUAUUGUAGGACUAGAGAUUUCUGCUGCUGGAUGGGUAGCCUAAAUAAUGAAGAAAGUGAUAAUUCCUGCGUAAAAUGUAUUAGAUGGUUUUUGCACUGAAAAAUGGAAAAUUAACAAACUUAAAAUGUUAUUUUAUUCCUACUGUAUUCUACAUCGUUUAUCUUGUGCAUUUCAAUUUCCAUUGUUUGUAGAUUUUCAAUAUUAACUUUUAUCGAUUCUGCAGAUUAAAUAAAGUGUUUACGCUGGAAUAUCAGUGCGUCAAAAAAAAGCGCGCUAUUUGAUCAAUUGAAAAAAAAAAAAAAUUCAAUUGUUUGGCAAAUCAUAAUACAAACUCUUGCAUACUUGAGUUCUUUCUGAUGUACAACUAAUUAUAAUAUCACAGAGUAAUUGUAAAUAAACAGUAUAGAAACAUCUUACUUCACGGUGUUUGUCAUGAUCAUAAGGUUCCUUUUCUUUGGAGCCAUGCUCAAUUUUUGUUGAAUCAUAGUCAAUUUAAUUAUUUAGUGAACUCAUUCUUGUGGAAUCACCAAACAGAUUAGUCAGUGGUAAUUAACUAAUAAUUCACCUUAUGAUCAAAUCCAAUAUCCUCUGAUUAUCAUCCACUCUGAACUAAACUCUACUGCACCAUUCCCCCAUGACACUUCUUAAUUUCAGGAACUAAAUGUAACACUCCACCUAACUUCUUACUAAUACAAACUUCCUCUGCAUUAGCUUCGGAAAGAAGCAUGCUUACAUCCUUAACCUCUCAUGCUCCAGUAUGAAGGGCCUCCAUCCGGAAGGAUCCGGUGCAUUGAACAUAUCGUAUUCCUGAAACGGACGGCUCUGAUGAGUAGGUCCAGAUGCAGCAGUGUAUGGCUUCAUGAUUGAAUUCUGACGAGUAGUUGCAAUCAAUGGUUGGUUGUGGAGGGGAUGGGGUGGCUCUUUAGCCAUUAAUUACUCCCACAAAUUGAGUUUAUUGCAGGAGGCCCCAGAUAUGUUAUCUUCACCUGCAGUGCCAACUGUUGCAUAGCUUUUCAAUGCCAAUGUUUGCUACUAUUCUGUGCACAGGGCAUUUAUUAGGAGGAUAUGUACAUUGUGGGGGGUAUUCAAUUAUUUUUGUCCUGAUAAUGCCAAGGCAUAUGUUGGUUCUUUAGCUCAUUCAAGGUGUGUACAGGUUUUUGAGUGGGUCAGGUUAGAUGUUGAUUAUAAACCUUGCAUCAGGUUACUGCUUUCGAGUUUGAUGCGCAGCAUAUAACUAAAUAACAUGUUUUAAUAGUAGAUCUAUUUAUAAUCAUGGCAUACGAUUUGAAGAAGGCAAUCAGGUAACAGUUGCGAAGAUAUCGAGUUCUUCGAUAUCAUGAGAGAGGAAUGAAAAUGAACUGAGUGAGCAAUAAUUGUUAUCUUUAAUAAUAAUCUAGUGACUCUAGUCCACUAUGCCGAACCACAUAAAUCUUCAUGUGCUAAACCCUUCUCUCAUUCGCAUCUUUCUUUCGUGUUGUUAUACCUCGCUGGUGCAUACUAAGGCCCUGUUUGUUUUGUCAAAAUAAGAUAUCCAAUGAUAGUUUAUUCCUAAUAAAAGUUUUCCUGUGUAAUUGAAAGUUAGUUGUUUGGUUUUUGCUCCUUAAAAAAAAAUAGUAUUAAUGAUUUAGUCGGAUGGUAUAUUUCACUUAGGAAGUAAUUCAUCUUAUUUCAAAUGAAUAAUUUGCAAGUGGAAUACAGUAUUUAUUCAAAACAUUCGAUCACUCUCCUUAUCUACUAAAUAUUACAUGCUUCUUGAAUAAAUCAAAAGAAUAUACCAAAUAAAAUAUUCAUACAUCCAAAAAUGGCUUAAGUAAUUUCGAAAUUGCCACCGGUACAUUCUAUGGUCAUUAUUGCAGGAUUUAGUGAAGAUCCUUCGGAUCCGUUGGUUGUCAGAACAAAGUAUCUGGUGAUAUCUUUUGUUCGUUUGGAAUCUUUUCAUGUUUUUUCAGGGGAGUUUAAUGUUUUCCAACUGUGAAGUCCUCAUAAUUCUUAUUCUCAGCAUAGAAGAUCUUCAAGGUGAUUUAUUAUAAAUAUCUUUCAUUUUCACUUACAAGAUAUUCAUGCAUCCAAAUAAGUUCUUAUAUUUAUCAUAUUUAUUCAAUCAGAACACGAAAACAGAGUAUUUGGACAAAUUUCCUUGUUGUUUUUAAGCUGAAAAAUGAGCUCCUUCUACAGGUUAUUUUUAUGUCCAUGGUGGGUGCCUUUUGUUUUACUUAAAACUAAAAAGCAUAUGAAGUGUACACUAAUUCAAUCCGGGAGAAUGGAUCCCAAAAUGCUACAGAUGUGUAGGUGAAGCAUCCUUCUUUUGUGAGACAGGUUAAUUUUGGGUGGACAUGAUCAAACAUGGUACUCAAUUGUGACCACUAAUGAAUCUUAGGAGGAUUAGAUCCCCAAAAGUGAACAGUUAAGAUGCCCUGUAUCUUUGACUUUCUAAGUGAUUUGACAUUUAAGCCCAUCUACAUGAAUACGAAAUCUUUGAUUGAAAAUAUUAUAUAGUAAUUAAGUUUCACCAGUGAUGAUAAUAUAUAACUAAUAAUGUUCUGCAUAAAGCUUACAUAAAAAGGUGGUUAAGAUAUACUUAUUAAAGUGAUGCAAAUUGCCUGUAAAUUCCAAAGCCACAUAUUCCAUUUAGCUGUGCACAGUACUAAUCAAUGAGCUAUAAAUAAUGCUUUCUUGGUUUUCAUAGUCUAAAGCAAUUAAAUUCAUGGAUCUAUGGGCCUCUGAACUUAGACCAAUUUACUUCGCCAUCUGAUCCAAUGUUAUCACUUAUCAGAUUAAUAAGCUUCUCGUUUACCAUUAGGGGGGUCAUUUUGGUCCACGGCUUGUAAUAUUUCGAUAAUAAAUCCUCAAUAUUAUCUAUUGAAAAUAUUCAAAUUAUUAUUUUUCAACUCAAGUUCGUAGCUGUAAAAGGUAUUAAUGAAAUAAUAAAAUCAUUGUAGAUUCGUAGGUGAUACAUGUUCUAAAUUAUUAUAGAUUAGAAAAUAUUGUUAGUUUCAUACUUGAUUUGAAUCAUUGGCAACUCAUUAAUAAGAAUAUACUAGUUCUAACAACAUCGAUCGCAACCUAAGUGACUUGAUAAGUAAAAGCUUGUGAUUCCAAAUAUAAAAUAUAUAGCUUGUGUUGGAUCAAUCAUUAGUUUUAGUGAUUGAUCCAACACAAGCAGAUUUGGUUCUUUCUUUGGAUUGGAUUGAUUUUGCAAUACACUCCAAUUAAAGGAGUUCCUCAGCUUUAUGGCUCGUUGCUGUCACGUGGGCCCAGUUGCUUUAGCUUGCAACAAGAGUUAAGUGUCUCUAGUAAAUAAUUAAAGUACGUACUCAAUAGAAGAAAAUUUGGAACCUUCUAUCUUUUAGUGUGACCCUAAAAAUGAGAUUUCGAUUAUUACAAGUAGAAGUUUCAAUUUCGUAUUUCUAAUUAUAAUGCAUAGAGUAACUACUAAAAAGAUUAUCAAAUAGUGUUUCUUCUAAUCGCACUAUUACAGAAUAUAUCUAAUAGGACGCCAAAAUAAACUUAUAUCUACUUUGGGCAAGCUUAAAAGUAAUUUUUUUUUCAUGUGAAAUUUAUACUUCCAUCUUCCUGACUCAAUAUGUAACAUGUUGGCAAAAGUUAUAAGAGAACAAAAAAAAAACAAUGUGUGCCAAAAAUUCCACAUAUCAUAGCAGCAAAAUCCCUCUAGAUUAUAGUAAUAAAAAAAAAGGAAAAUGAAGAAUUAAUUCUUUAAACUUAAUUGAAGUUACAACAUAUUUUUCAUAGCCUUUUUUUUUUUGCUUUUUUGAGUUGAUGUUCUUCACAGUUUCCAUUAACUAUGAAACUCCGAGAAAAAAUAAAGUAUAUAUGUCUCUGCAAAACGUAAAUGAAACUUGGAAAUACAAAACUCAUUCUGCACACCGUUUAAUUAAUUCACACUUAAUUGUUAACAAUUAUACCACAUGAUAUAAAUCUCCCGAAUUUCUACACACCAAAACAAAUCCCCAGUAAACUCCGAUCUCCUCAUCACCGUAAUUGGCAUUUGAAUUGCCGCAGCUGCAAUUCGGUCGUAAAUCGAAGUACCAAAAUUUGGAACGAAAAUAUCUUCAAAAAAAAAAAAAUUAAGUAUACAUUUAGAAUACGAGAACAAUAUAUAUUCGAUUUACGACCGAGCUGUAAUUACGUCAAUCCAAAACACCUGCAUAUAUGUAUAAAUAUAAAUAAAUAUAUGUAUAUUUUUUUUAUUUUUAAUUUCUCAUGCUUUUUUUGCGGCGGCGAUGGAGUUCUUACAGUGGGCGAUGGCGGCCUGGAUGGCGCUCUGGAGCUCCUCCAUGGUGCUCUCGUCGGACGACGACAUGUUCAGCGACGUGGCUGAGAGGUGGCCGCUGUUGGUGGGCGACGUCCGCAUCGACGCGGGCGCCGAGAGCUGGCCGCCGGGGCGCCUCUUCUUGCGCCACGAGUGCUCCUUGUCCCUCGGGUUCAGGUGCCCGGAGAAGGAGUGCGGGCGCUGCCCGCGGCGCAGGUCGCGCCUCCGGUCCUUGUCCCCGGACAUGAACACGCGUAUGGGCUCCACCAUGCACUUCCUCAGCAGCCGGCCCACGUCGAACACCUUGUGUUUCCUGUCCUUCUUGCUUUUGUCCGCCUCCUCCUCGCCCAGCUUCUUCGGCUUGCCGAGGCCGAACAAGGAGGACAGGGACUUGGGCUUGGAGGGCUUCUCUUUGUUGUCGACGGCGUCGACGUUGUUGUUGUGGGUUGUUGUCGUCGUCGUCGUCGUUAUUGUUGUAGUAGCCGUUGUAAUUGUAGUGGCAGUGGUGGUGGCGGUGUGGGUGGAGGGGAGGGAGUAUUGGAGGGGGAGGAGGUGGCCGUGGAGGAAGAUGUCGUCGGCGGGGAAUAAGUCGAGGGAUGCGGUGGUGGCGGCGGAGAGAGGAGGAGGAGGAGGAGGAGGAGGAGGAGAAGGAGGUGAGGGGAUGAGGGAGAUGGUGAAGGAGAAGUCGUGGGAGGGGGAGGUGGUGGAGGAAGGGGGAGGGGGUGGAGGGGGGAGGCGCUCGGGUUUUGUGUUGUGGUUGUGGUUGUGGUGGUCUCUUCUUUCUCUCUCCCUNAUAUCGGAUGAUCUAGUUAGAGUAUUAUUUUUAAUCAAGCUUAUAAAUUUUAUUUUAUUUUUUGCUUAAUCUAAAUAUCAUGUGUCCACAUCCUUAUGCCAACCACGUACAUUCGUAGUUGUGAGAGAAAGGGAUGAGAGAGAGAGAGAGAGAGAGAGAGAGAGAGAGAUGUAAAGUAAGUGAUUUUAGGUUAGAGGAAUAGAGCCGGGUUUGUGGAGAAGUACUAAUCGUAUCGUAGUAGGAUUUAGCGUGUUGCGUUGCUCGUGUACGUUCCCGAUUAUGAUUCAAGGGACAUUUGAGAGAGAUGUUGCUUUGGAAUGAGAACAAAAUAGGAAGGGGAAGGGAGAGGGAGAGGGAGAGGGAGAGGUACCUGAAUGUGUUCGAGGUUGAUUCCCUCUCUCUUUCUUCUCUGGUGGUGUUGGUGUUGGUGUUGGUGUUGGUGUUGUGUUUUGGGCUCGCGGAGGGGGGUAUAUAUUGCUCUCGUGGUGUGUUACACUAAUCAACAGAUGCAUCAGAGUGUAGGCCAUAAUUUUACUAUAGAGAGAGAGAUAUGGUGGGAGGGAUUUAGUUCAAAUUUAGAGAGAAAUUAAGUACUCUUAAAAAGAAUAAUUUCCUGAUCCCUUGAGUCUAACCCAAUGUAGGCACAAUUAACAAUUGUGCUUAAAAAGAUGAUGACAAAAGAACUCUCCAAAUCCAAUCCCCCCUUGCUUUUAUAUAUUAAUUAAUUGACCCAGUUGUGUUUAAGUGAUCUCAUUGGAGCUAGGAAGAGUUACAAACCAAUUAGUUUCAAGUUCCCAAAAGUCAGCCUAUUGGACUUCAAUUGGAAAAUCAAAUUAUUUUUACUUAAUUAAUUCUCGCUCAAUGCUAAUUAAAAAUGUGCACUCAAUCUCUUUGCUUAUUGACUUUUUGUAUUUACAAGAAACAUUUUGUUUUCCAAACAUAUCCAUGAAUGCUAUCUCUACUGCUCACCAUAUUCAAGGUCUGGCGAAAGAGUGGACCGAUUUUUGCAGAGUAGGGUGACGUUGGUUCUGCUACUCCCUUUGGUUCGGACAAAUGUUUUUGCUUCUUCUUUUUCGCUCUUUUUUUUCUAACCCCAUUCUUCUUCGUUUUGUCUUUCUGAGGCCCUAGCUGCUUCAUUCUAUAUAACUAAGUUCAUUUACCUAAUGAAUGAAAUAGCUAGCCUUUCUCUCUCUCUCAAAAAAAAAAAAGAAACAUUUUUUUUGCUUGCUUGUAAAUUUUGCUUGGUACUAAAUGGUUUUGCACCCAAAGAUUCAUGCAUGGUUUUACUUCCAAAAUUUAAUUAAUUGUUUAAAUUUCCUCAUGUUCAUGCAUGGUUUAUAAUAUUUCCUCAAAUUUAUUUAAUCGCAUACCACCCGAGCCAUUAUCAAGCCAGGUUGGUGAGACAACCGUGGUGGGGUUCUUUCUUUUUUUUUUUUUCCUCUCAUUUUUGCCCCUUUUUUUUCUCGCAUAAAAUCAACGUCAUUGCCUAGUCGACAACUUUUUUAGUUUUUUUCUAUCAAAUUAAUCUCUCUAAUAAAUUUAGUAUAAGAACGUAUUCUGUACUGACGAUUCUGUUAGGUUGUGAAUUUGAUUCGAACUUUCCACAUUAUUGAGAACUACGCAUAAAACUAUUAAUAUAGAAAACACCCAAACGAAAUGCAUGCCAUAUUGCUUUUUUGUUGAUUUUGUGGCGAAAACUUUUUCUCUAGCUUAUUUUUAUUAUUUAUGGUUAUGUUUAAAACUUAUCUAAUUAUUACGAAAUCACAUGAUAAACUUUUUAAUCUAUGCAUCUAAUUAAGACAAGUUAAUUAGUAGCACGAGUGUGUUAAUUAAUUAGCUAAAGAUGAUCUUCUAAAAGAGAAGUUUUAUUAUUUAAUUAUUUGUUUAUUUAAUUUCUUUGAGAAAAAGGGAAAAAAAGAAAUGAACAUGAACUAAAUCUAAGCCGUCCCCACGUCCACAUGGGAACGAGAUAUUCUCCUUCCAUGGUACGACCAUUUUUUUGUUCCUUAGCACAUAAUGCAUGUCCCAUGGUCCCUCCCCUGUUUAAUUAGCUUAAUUCCCAUUAAUUAAUUAAUUAACAAGGUAUAUGUGCUUUUUUAUUAUUUGUUUAAUUACUGAUUAGCUUAUAAUGCGUUCUUGUCUGAUACAAAAUAAGGUGUUUCUCAAAAAACAAAAAAGAGAUAAAAAAAAAAAACACCAAGGUUUAUAUAUAUAUUUUUUCUGUUAUUACCAAAGUGAUUUAUAGCUUGUAAAAAAUAUAAACAAAAAUUGUUUAUAUUGUCUUUUAUAGUUUUUAUUUACUUAUUUUCGUUCUAACAAAAUAUAAUUAACUUUGAUGGUUCUCUCCAAUUUAUUAUUAUUAUGUUUUUAAAAAAUACAUGUUUCUCUAUUUAAUCAGGUAACGCUUAGUAUUUGAUACUACUCCUUUUGGAAAAAAAAAAAGAAAAAAAAGCAUAAAAAAAGACACUUGACACGCAUUUGAAUAUGGACAAAUCCAAAAUCGAAUUAUCACAAGAGCAUAUGUGCUCGUGCGCACGUGCGUGUGAUUGCGAGAGAAAAAGAGAGAAAGCACUUCGGAUAGCUGCUGCAAAGGAAUUUGACAAAAAAAACACUGUUGAAGAAAAUUUUUUUUUUUUUAAAUAAUGAGAUUGUUUAAUUCAACAAAUGUUUACUUUGGAGUUCCUAAUUUUUAUUUUCUGAGUCGAGCGAAAAACUUUCUAGAGGUCUACGGCGGAAGCGCAGGGCUUAAACUUGUAGAGCUAGGAGUGCAAUCAGUCUAAUAUUAUUUGAUAUUUGAUGAAACUAUAUUCGCAUAUAUAUAUAUAUAUAUAUAGAGUAGGGCUAGAAUACUUGUAAAAGUAUCAUGGGGGUGAUACUUUUUAAACACUAAAAAACUAUAGUAAGCCGAUCACUAGCUUCCCCGAGUUUUAGUUAUUAAAAUUACCAGCAUCACUCGGCAAACGUUAAAAUUGCUAUAUCUUUAUAAGUUUAGUACACUUUAAAACUAUCUUUUAAAAAAUAUGAUAUAUUUUGUUCUAAUUAUAGAAACUAGUCUUUAAAAUUACAGGAUAGCAGUGUAAAACAUUUUAAAAAUAAAAAUCGGUAACUAAAACUAAAGGAAACUAGUGUUCCGUUUACUAUAGCUUUUUAGUGUUUUAAAUAAAAGAUCUAGGAAGUUUAUGAGAUCUAGUUCAGAUUACCUCGGCUAACAGCUAAGCUUUUAGGGUUAUAGCUUUUGCUGAAUUUUUAUGCUUCCUGAGACAGGAAAGCCUUCGUAUAGUCGGAGUGAGACUAUCGAAUAACUCGUUAGAUAAAGCAUAUAUAUUAAGAUAAUGUAAUAAAUAUCCAUUGAAACAGAAAUAUAAAUAAAAAUGUUUUAAAAUAACGAUUUCAGAUAGGGUUUAUUGAUCGGAUAAACUCUCAUGUUUUAUAUCAUUCUAUAAAUUACGUUAUAAAAGAGAAUACGUAUCCCGUUAAUUAUGUUCUCCAUUUCACGUCCCUCAAAAGAUAUAAACUCGGAUUUUUUUAACUUCGUUACUUCUAUAUAGUACAUGGAACCCCCCUUUUUUUAAACUUAAUGUGAAAUGAUAUAAAAUGAAAACAUAAUAAAAAUAAACGAUAUAAUCUCAGGCCGAUGAUACGAUAGCUAUCGUACCUCGCGAAGCACGAUGUUUCAACAAAAGCUACUACGCCGAAGGUUUAGCUGCUAGUCGAGGCAAUUUGAACUAGAUGUGAUAACUUUCAUAAACCUUUGAUUUAAAGUCUAAAAAAGCUAUAGUAAACUGAUCACUAGUUUUCUAGAGUUUUAACUGUUAAAAUUACCGGCUACACCACACAAAACUCAAAUUGCCACAUUUUGUUAGGUUUACGCUACUUUUAAAAUAUCUUUUAAGAAAAGUGAUAAAUCUCAUUCUAGUCAUAUAAACUAGAACUUAAAUUUAGAAAAUAGUAGUAAAAAAUACUCUAAAAAUAAAAGUCGGUAAGUUAAAAUCUGAUGAACAAACUAUCCAUUUACUAUAGCUUUUUAAUACUUUAAAUUAAAGAUUUAUGAAAGUUAUCAUAUCUAGUUCAGAUUACCUCGGCUAGCAGCUAAACUUUCGGCGUAGUAGCUUUUGUUAAACCAUCGUACCUCGGGAGGCACGAUGGCUAUCAUAUCAUUGGAUCAAUAUAUAUAUAUAUAUAUAUAUAUAUAUAUAUAUAUCUCACUCCGAUGAUACGAUAAUCUUCGUGCCUCGGAAGGCAUGAAGGUCGAGCAAAAGCUACAACGCUAAAAGCUUAGCAGCUAGCCGAGACAAUUUGAACUAGAUCUCAUAAACUUCAUGGAUCUUUUAUUUAAAAUACUAAAAUGCUAUAGUAAACGGAUCACUUGCUUCCCCGAGUUUUAGUUGCCGACUUUUAUUUAUAGAAUGUUUUACAUUAUUAUACUGUAAUUUUAAAAUUUAGUUUUUAUAACUAGAACAAAAUAUAUCAUAUUUUUUAAAAGAUAGUUUUAAAGUGCACUAAACCUAUAUAGAUGUGGCAAUUUGAACGUUUGCCGAGUGAUGCCGGUAACUUUAAACAACUAAAACUCGGGUAAAUUAGCGAUCCGUUUACUAUAGUUUUUUAUUAUUUUAAAUAAAAGACCCAUGAGAUUUAUGAGAUCUAGUUCAAAUUGCCUUGGCUAGCUGCUAAGCUUUCAGCGUUCUAGCUUUUGCUCUACCUUCGUGCCUUCCGAGGCAUGAAGGCUAUCGUAUCAUCGGAGUGAGAUAUAUAUAUAUAUAUAUAUAUAUAUAUAUAUAUAUAUAUAUCUUAAUCCGAUGAUAUGAUAGAUAUCAUGCCCUCGAGGGCAUGAUAUCACAACAAAAGCUAGAAUCCCGUAAGUUUAGUUGCUAGCUGUGGCAAUUUAUACUAGAUCCCAUAUACUUCAAGAAUCCUUAUUUUAAAAUCAAAAAAAGUUAUAGCAAAUGAAUCAUUUAUUUAAUACAGUUUUACCUGCCACCCUUAACUUAUGAGAAAUUUUAAAUUCGUAUCCUAAAAAUUUAAGUUCUAGUUCUUACAAUUAGAAUUAGAUAUAUCAAAUUUCAUAAAAGAUAGUUUUAAACUUCUUUAAAUCUAAGAAGAUGUGGCAAUUUGAGGUUUGAGCAGUAUUAUCGAUAACUUUUAACUGUUAAAACUUUACAAAACUAGUAUUUCAUUUGCUACAGCUUUUUUAUAUUUUAAAAUAAAGAUUUUUGAAAUUUAUCGGAUCUAGUCAAAAUUGCCACACCUAGCAACUAAACUUACGGACUUCUAGCUUUUGUUGUGAUAUCAUGCCCUCGAGGGCAAAUAUCAUCGGCCUGAGAUAUAUAUAUAUAUAUCUCUCUCUCUCUCUCUCUCUCUCUCUCUCUCUCAACUCGAUACUAUGAAAAUAUUCAUAGUGGUAGUACUACGAUAAUUCAAAAUUCGGUAACCUAGAUGAAAAACUAAUAAUUAUCGGGAACCUAAUUUGUGAUAAGGUGGAUGGUGGUGGAUGGUGGUGGAUGGUGGUAGUAGAGUUGGAGUGUAGAGAGGUAGGUUCCCGAUUUUUGUAUGNNNNNNNNNNNNNNNNNNNNNNNNNNNNNNNNNNNNNNNNNNNNNNNNNNNNNNNNNNNNNNNNNNNNNNNNNNNNNNNNNNNNNNNNNNNNNNNNNNNNNNNNNNNNNNNNNNNNNNNNNNNNNNNNNNNNNNNNNNNNNNNNNNNNNNNNNNNNNNNNNNNNNNNNNNNNNNNNNNNNNNNNNNNNNNNNNNNNNNNNNNNNNNNNNNNNNNNNNNNNNNNNNNNNNNNNNNNNNNNNNNNNNNNNNNNNNNNNNNNNNNNNNNNNNNNNNNNNNNNNNNNNNNNNNNNNNNNNNNNNNNNNNNNNNNNNNNNNNNNNNNNNNNNNNNNNNNNNNNNNNNNNNNNNNNNNNNNNNNNNNNNNNNNNNNNNNNNNNNNNNNNNNNNNNNNNNNNNNNNNNNNNNNNNNNNNNNNNNNNNNNNNNNNNNNNNNNNNNNNNNNNNNNNNNNNNNNNNNNNNNNNNNNNNNNNNNNNNNNNNNNNNNNNNNNNNNNNNNNNNNNNNNNNNNNNNNNNNNNNNNNNNNNNNNNNNNNNNNNNNNNNNNNNNNNNNNNNNNNNNNNNNNNNNNNNNNNNNNNNNNNNNNNNNNNNNNNNNNNNNNNNNNNNNNNNNNNNNNNNNNNNNNNNNNNNNNNNNNNNNNNNNNNNNNNNNNNNNNNNNNNNNNNNNNNNNNNNNNNNNNNNNNNNNNNNNNNNNNNNNNNNNNNNNNNNNNNNNNNNNNNNNNNNNNNNNNNNNNNNNNNNNNNNNNNNNNNNNNNNNNNNNNNNNNNNNNNNNNNNNNNNNNNNNNNNNNNNNNNNNNNNNNNNNNNNNNNNNNCCGUACUUUUGAAAGCAUAGGAGCCUAGCUCUAUAUAUAUAUAUAUAUAUAUAUAUAGAUAUAUAUAUAUAUAUAUAUAUAUAUAUAUCUCAGGCCGAUGAUACGAUAGCCAUCGUGCCUCGCGAGGCACGAUGGUUCAACAAAAGUUAAUACGCCGAAGGUUUAGCUGCUAGCCGAGGCAAUCUAAACUAGAUGUGAUAAUUUUCAUAAAUCUUUGAUUUAAAGUCUAAAAAAACUGUAGUAAACUGAUCACUAGGUUUCUAGAGUUUUAACUGUUAAAAUUGCCGGCUACACCACACAAACACUCAAAUUGCCAUAUUUUGUUAGGUUUACGCUACUUUUAAAAUAUCUUUUAAUAAAAGUGAUAAAUCUCAUUCUAGUUAUAUAGACUAGAAGAGAGAGAGAGAGAGAGAGAGAGAGAGAGAGAGAGAGAGAGAGGCUUCUAUACUUUCGAAAGUACGGAAUCUUCCCCACUCGUAAGUUGUUUUCGAUGAUGGAGCAUCCGAUUCGGCGAUCAAUUCCGUUAGACAUGAUCUGCGCUAUUGGAAUUAUUUAUAAACCAAAUUUUAUAAUUUUUUGACUUCAUUUACCUAGUGAAUGAGUAAGCUCAAAAUGAACGGCUAAAAAUAAAAAUCUCAAAAAAAAUAGUGAUAAAAGACUCAAAUUUCAAAUCGAAAGUAUUGUUUUUACUCUUGAUGUUAAAUAAAAUUUUCUAUUAAAGUUUCCUGUAAUUUGAAUUCUUGUACACCGUUGAACUUCAAAACGCACCACAUCGGCCGUUAAAAUAGUCAUUUUUGAGACUCUUUGAUCACUUGAUAAAUGAUGUCAAAAAAAUAUGAAAUUUGGUUUCUAAAUAGUUUUAAUUGUAUAGAUCAUGCCUAACGGAGCCAAUCGCCGAAUGGGAUGCUUCAUCAUAAAAAAUAACUUACAAGUACGAAAGCCUCCGUACUUUCAAAAGAAUAGGAUAUAUAUAUAUAUAUAUAUAUAUAGAGAGAGAGAGAGAGAGAGAGAGAGAGAGAGAGAGUUAAGCUCCUAUGCUUUCGAAAGUACGGAAACCUCUGUACUUGUAAGUUGUUUUCAAUAAUGGGACAUCCGAUUCAGCGAUCGGUUCCGUUAGACAUGAUCUACGCUAUUAGAACUAUCUAGAAACCAAAUUUUAUAAAUUUUUUACUUCGUUUGUCUAGUAAACGAGUAGCCUCAAAAUGAACGGCUGAAAAUUAAAAUCUCAUAAAAAACAGUGAUAAAUGACUCAAAUUUCAAAUCGGAAGUAAUGAUUUUGCUAUUGAUGUUAAGUAGAAUUUUCUAUUAAAUUUUUAUCUAAUUUGGAUAUUUUUACACCGUUGAACUUAAAAACGUGCCAUAUCGACCGUUAAAAUAGUCAUUUUUGAGACCUUUUGAUCGCUUGGUAAAUGAUGUCAAAAAAUUAUAAAAUUUGGUUUCUAAAUAGUUCCAAUAUGGUGGAUUAUAUUUAACGGAGCCGAUCGUCGAAUCGGAUUUCCUAUCAUCGAAAACAACUUACAAGCACGAAAGUUUCCGUACUUUCGAAAGUACAGGAGACUUACUCUAUAUAUAUAUAUAUAUAUAGUAGGGCUCCUGUGCUAUUAGGAGCACAACAGCCCUUGUGCUCCUAAGUUCCUAACCGCUCAUCAAAUUUGAUGGGUGGUUAGGGUGAGAGAGAAAAGAGAAAUUGAAGAGAAAUUUAAGGAGAAGAAAAAUUAAGAAACCCAAUUUCUCUUCAAUUUCUCUUCUUCCUUUCACCCUAACCACCCAUCAAAUUUGAUGGGCGGUCAAGAACUUAGGAGCACAAGGGCUGCUNAGCAUAUAUAUAUAUAUAUAUAGAAUUAUGCUACUAUACUAUCAAUAGUACCAAGCCCUUAGUACUAUUGACUUUUCGGCCGUUGGAUGAAUAGAUGUGCGGUUAGAAUGAUAGUGAUCCCCUAGGGUUGAGUGGGUGGUUGGUUUAAUAGUAUAAUCUAACGGGUGAAAAUAAUCAAAGGGUCGAUCUAACGGUAGAAAAAUCAAUAGUACCAAGGGCUUGGUAUUAUCGAUAGUAUAGUACCUGGACUCUAUAUAUAUAUAUAUAUAGGCCAUGGCUACUAUAUUAUUAUGAGUAUUGGAGCCCUCGUAGAUGUGUCGAAUGCUACUAUAUAUAUAUAUAUAUAUAUAUUGUGAAUUCAGAUGUAGAUGUGUCGAAUGCUAAAUAUUUGUUACUAUAUUUGCUAAAUACGGAUUCAAAUACAAACGGAUUUAUUUUUUCAAUUUCGAAUAUUGAUUGAAUUUAUAUUCUAAUAUUAUUCGUAUAAUAAUAGUGAUUAAUAUGCGCAUAUAAAUAUAAACUAGAAUUGGCAAUAAUAUAACUAAAACUCAAAACAUUUUGUAUUCAAAUUUUUAUAUAUCUAUAUUUUAUUAAAUAAUAUUUAAGAUUUGUUUAACCAAUAGAAAUAUAAUUUUAAUAUAAAACUGAUAAUAAAAUAAACGAAAAUUACAAUAAACCUUCUUAAUUAUUCCCCCCCACAAUAUAAAUAUUAACCUCGUUUUUAUCUGAUCCCCACAAAACCCCAAUUACAUUGCAAAUCGAAAUUUAUAAUUAUAUUUUAAUCUAAAUUUAAAUUUAAAACUACCAUCUAAGUUACACCACCGUAUUUUUUUAUUUUUCCAUAAUAUAUAAAUUUAUAAUAUAUAUUGAUUUUAGGAUAUCCGAAUCGGAAUUCAAAUAUUUUGAUGUAUCCAUUUACGGAUCUGAAUUAAAAAAUAUUAUAAAUAUAGCAUCCCAAUUUGACUUAGACAGUGCUAACCACUUUCACACCUAGUUAGACCCAAAAAUAUACAUGAUUAAUUUGAGUCAACAUUCUUUCUAAUUCUAACUAAGGUUUAAUUUAGCCACUUAUAUAUUUAGGUUUUUUUUUUUUUUUUGUAAUAUUUGUAGAGUACUUUUGGUGUAUUUGUGAUUAAGAUCUUUUAAAGAGAAACAUAUUUUUGAUUAAAUGAAAUCUCUCAUUUGUCUCUACUCAUGGAUGUAAAUUAGUGGCUUGAUCACGUAAUUUACUUGUAAGUUUUACUUUCACCUCCUGUUUUUCAGUUCUCUUCAGUAUAUAAUUUUUGUUCAACAAAUAAGAUUUAUUUUUAGAACUGUCAUAGUAUAUAUCUACUGUAAAUUACACUUCAGCUAUUUUUAGGAGCCACCCUAGCAAAUUUGAACCUAAAGUUGUCCAAAAAACCCAAUAUAUCAUACUCGAUCCGACCCUAUCGAACCCGAACAAAAUCCGAUAAAAAAUGGAUAGUAUACGAGUAAAAAAAAUUAUCUAUUAAAAUUUCGGGUACGGCUCUAGAUAUUUUAUACCCAUAUCCGACUUAAACCCGAUUCGAACCGGACCUUUUAAUUGGUAAGGUUCGGAAGAGUUUCCAAAUCUAGACCCGGAACCGGACUCCGACUCAGUGAAAUAUUUGAUAGUAAAUAAAAAAAAUUAAAGUUGAGGGAUCAAUUUUAAUAGAACUUAUAAAUGAAGGGUCUCUAUAUAUUUUCAUCCUAGUGAAAACUUUAGUCGUUCUAUUUACUCCUUUUUAAAUUUUUUAUUUUACUUAUUUUUUAAAAUUCUGUCUGUUUAUUGCUUGAAUUUUUUUUUUGAACGAAUUUUAUUGGGAUGUGCGCAACUAAUUAGAACGUGAAUUUUUUAUAGUGAGAGGUCUAUGGUUUGUCCAUAAACUAUUUAAUAAAGUUUAUAAAUAAUAUAUGCAUACGAUAAUCCGUAACCGAUCCAUACCUGGUCGUAAGCGGGUAGUCAAUCCAGAUCCGUUCAAAUAGGCCCGAUGACUAUAUUAUUAACUUAAGUAUCCAAUCUCGAACCGGCUCCGAAGUUAAACGGAUAGGAUAUAUUUUUUUUUUCUAUUCAUUUUUUUUAAAGAUAUGGGUAUAUAUAAUAUAUCAACUAUCCAGAUUCGAUCCGGUCUAAGGACACCUUUAUUUGAACCAGAUAAUAAUUAUAUAAACAGAGCCCAAAAAUACUUUAACUGGAAAUAUUAUUUAGUAGUAUUAAGAGCAUCUUCUGAGCCUUACAUCAUGAAUUCCUAGGAUAAGUAGAUAAGAGUAUUCAUGUACACAUGGCUAGGGUUGGUCAAAAUCAGACAAACAGAAACCAGCUCAUUUGGCCCCACACAAGCAUCGAAAAAGCAAACCUAUCUAAGAUUUCCAUUUGGAUUGACCUGUCGCCUAGGUAAAUUGAGCUUUGCCCUUUUUUUUUUCUUUUUCUUUUUUUUUCUUUUUUCAGUUAAGCACUUGUUUGACCUUAUUGUUUAUAUUUAUAUGGGUAUAUCAAAUUUGGAGAUUCUACUCUAACUACAAAAGAUAUAACAUUUGAUGCUAGACCUUCUCAUCUUGAUGUAGAAUGAAGCUGUUAUUAAGAAGUCUUAAUAUGAAUAAAUACCUUUUCAGAACAUGCACUGUAUUCUACAAUAAAGACUUUAUUUAAAGAGUUCUUAUUGGAGCUAUGUGGAUUGACAAACUGUCCCCUAAUAGACUGUGGAUAUGCUGGUAAGCCAUAUAAUAUAUUUCGAUUGUAAAACAAAAAAGAAAAACGCAAGUCUCCUGAAAUUCAUUAUAGAGAAGAGAAACUACCACUCAAAGAAUCAGCAGCCGACUCAAAUAACAAUACAAUAUGUUAACACAAACUAAUCAAAAUUUUUUCUUCAUAGUAUUUAUAUUGUCAUAUAUAUAUAUAUAUAUAUAUAUAUAUAUAUAUAGAGUCCGGCCGGAGUACUAUCGAUAGCACUAAAGAUUUGGUGCUAUCGAAUUUUUCACCGUUAGAUUUAACCCUAUGAUUAUUUUUACCCGUUAGAUUAUACUAUUCAACCAACCACUCACUCAACCCUAGGGGGCCCACAUUAUCCUAACCAUCCAUUUCUCAAUCCAAGAGCUAAAAAAUCAAUAACAUAAGUAGCUUGGUGCUAUUGAUAGUAUUCCAGCCUAAUUCUAUAUAUAUAUAUAUAUAUAUAGACCUAGUCUACUGUAUCAUUAAUAACAUCAAGUCAUUAAUGCUGCUAAGUUUUCAGUCCUUAAAUGGAGGUGAUUAGGAUAAUAGUGAUCUCCUAUCUAGGGUUAGGUGGUUGGUUGAAUAGUAUAGUCUAAUGGACGAAAAUGAUUAAAGUGGUAGAUCUAAUUGUGGAAAACUUGGUAACAUCAAGCAGACACUCAACCCUGGCAGAUCACUAUUAUCCUAACCUCACAUCUCUUCCUCCAAAAAUCAAAAACCUAAUAAUAUAGUAACCUAAUUCUAUAUAGGUAUAAAUAUAUAAAAAGCAGUAGAGGAAAGGGACUCAACAUUUUAUGAGGACCAUUCCUUUUCUGUGGGGGUGUGUACAUUGGCCGGGCAUGUUGGUGGUGCGUGCAUAUCAGAGUCGUUGAGCUGUUACAUGCAACGUCGCGGUUUUGAUUAUUGGCCUCCAUGGCAAGGGAAAAAAAAAAAAAAAAAAAAGUCUAGAAUGCAUUAAUUAUAUUGCUCUAUUUUCAAUUUUCAAUUAAUGAGAUUGUCCUCUUAAAUUCACCCCUCCCAUUAUUAUUAAUAAAAGUAUAUUUUUAUUAUAUUUAUUUUUUAUAAAAAAUAAAUAUAUUUAUUUUUUAUAAAAAAUAAAUAUAAUUGACUUAUUACCCAUAAUAUGGUGUAAGUAUAGUACCGAAGACUUCCUCCAUGGCGGGGCCAUGCUUUUUUAACUCGCAUUUUUAAGGGAUUUAGUUGUCAUAUUCUUCUACGUGUCUCUCUCACCGCUACAAUUUCCUGUCCACCCGCACGUGCAACACAAAUAUUUGAUUUAUUUUCCGUUACAUAUCCUAUUUCGAAAAAAAAAAAAAAAGGUUAUACUCACUGUUAAAUUUGUGAUUAAACAGUAAUAAAUAAAAUAAAAUUACGACAAAAAUAUGUAAAAUCAUAUUUUUCUGUUUUUCAAUAAAAUCAUAUAAUAUUUUUGUCAUCAUAUUGUAAAUGGAGCCUAAACUUGAUUUGGUACAAGUGUUUUUUUUUUUGGAAAAUUGGCUGCAAUAAAAAUAAACUUUGAUAUUCCUCAAAAGUAUGGGGGAUUAAAAAAAAAAAACAAUGAUAUUCAACAAAAAGCUGCAAAAAAAUUUUCUAUACGUCUUCAGAUUCACAAACAGAUGAUACAAUGACGCCGUUUAGUAUCUUAUUAAUUAACCCCAAAAACUCUGGUGAAUAUAAAAGUUUAUAUCAGAUUAAAAUGCGAAAAAGUUACUAAUAUGGUCUGCAUUUAUAUAUAAAAGGCUCUGCUCCGUGUUUUGUUCAUAGACAAGAGGGCAUUCUCACAGUCACUGGACGCAGUACAAUGCCAAAAGAAUCUCAGCAAAUACAACGACAAUGUUAAUCCAGAAGUAUUGUGUAUAACAUGAAAUCAAUUGGCCAGUUGGCUCCGAAUCCAUCCUUGGGUUUAACCCAGAAAAUCGAAAUAACCUCGCCUAACCCUAUCCGGCUUACCUCUACAAGAUGAUUCAUAUACAUGGCAACGAUCCUAGGGAAGUGCCUUAGCUAUCCCAGGGCCUUUCUUUAUAUAAUAAGGCGAUCAAUUCGUACCUGUUAAUGCCUCGUAGAAUCACUUUGAUCAACUAACGUAGCAUCAAUAGAAAGCACAGGGGACUAGCUCUUCUAUCGGCCGGGCAUAAAUACAUGUAUAAAUGACGCCUCCAUACGCUUCUAGCAUAAGCUAAAGUUAGACCAAAAUAUAAUUGGCAUCCCAGAAAAGGAGAAUCGAAUGGAGACCCUCGAAAAAUAUCCUUUUUUUGUCAGCUAUGAAUGUCUACAGGAACUAUGACAAUAACUAGUCACUUGAAGCACUCUUACUAGAUGCGGAAUCUGAGUAAAAAAGAAAAGGCAAAGAGUGAAUAAUUAGUUUGCAAAUAAAAAGGAGAGGAAAAAAAAAAUUGAAAAUGAGCUAGCAACAAUAUUAAACCUCUUGAUCGCUUUUUGCCCUCCAUUGCUUCCUUCUUUUCCUGGCAACUUAGGCAAAGGAAUGGACCGUCCCAGGGUCGCAAUUUGCCAGGCCGUGAUGAAUCGGCAUGCACAGAAAUGCCCUCGCCAGGUUUCAUCUCAAUUUGGCAAAUCGCACAUAUGAAAAGCUUGAACAUGUUCCUAAUUGGAUAUUCUGCUUCUAGCCUGCAGAUAGAGCAAUAUGUGUCAAUCAUUUGGCACUAAAGAAAGCUUUUAUUAUUUAUUUGAAGGGAAACAACAUAUUAGGAAAUGAAGAUUGACAAAUGAAACUUGGCUAACGCCUGUUUGCCCCUUCUGAAGGGCGUAGGGCUGUUUGAGUAAUGUUACUAAAAGCACCAAGCUAAAAUCCCCUCAAAAGCUUCUUCAUAAAGCAGAGUAACAACCUCCAACUUAGAAAUUCCUGCUUUGUGGCCCCAAAAUCUAGUCUCAACUUUCCACCACAGUAGAAGUUUUGUAUUCACCAAGCACUCUAUUAGAGGUGUCCAUAGCCGAAAGCACAAGUAGAAACUAGGACAAACAGGCAGUAAAUAUGAUUAUAGAGACUGCCUACUUUCUAAUAGAGACCAGGUUAAAUGAUGAUAACAGAGAGUACAGCUAUGAAAAAGAUACUAACCGUUGGGAAAGCAUUGCAGAUCCAUCCUCAAAUAUUUCCUCCACCACAUCGGGCUCAGAAUAUUCCCUAUCUACAUUAGAUGAUGACUCGGACGAUUUUCUCCUAAACAUAUUUUUGAACACCCCCAUCCCUUGCUUCUUUGGAGGUGGAACAGUUGGAGUUAUUUUCUCCGGAGGUAAUAUGUCAACUACUAUACAAGUGGUAUCAUCCCUCAGCCCUUUUUCCUGCACAGCUUCCUGCAAAUGAUCAUCUCUACUAUAAUUAAAGGAUUCAAUGAAUGUGGAGCUACCAAUACAUAGCCAAAAUAUAAGGAUAAAGUACGUUGACAAUAUGACUCGCUGCGACAUCUGCUGGCAACCCACGGCAGCAGCUAAGAGCCAUUUCACUGGACAAAGCAUCCCACACGCCAUCGCUUGAUAUGAUAAGCCGACCUCCAGCGUUUGAUAGCUGUAAUAUACAUAUAAAAAUUAUGAUUCACCAGUGCAAUCUCAGUGCAAUAUAUAAUGCAGAAAGAGUGAAAAUCAUAGUAGAUAUCACUCUACAUAUAAAUAGUUGUUGUAAGAGUUGGAUGCGGCUAUCUGCUCAAAAAGAAUUGGAAGUGGGCCAUGUGGCUAGCAUCUGUGAUGCUUAACUAAUGGAUUGAAUAUUCCAUUCAUGGAUAAGGGAUCCAGCUAGCAAUUGGAAGGGGCACUACAUAGAUGACCUCUCAAUUCUAUAUAGUAGCAUAAUAGAUAAACAUAUAAAAAGAGGAAUCGCAAAAUUAAAAGCCACUUAAAAAGCGACCAUUCUCUUCAUCUUCCUGCUCUACCCUCAACCAAAGUCUCUGUCAAAUGUGAGCUGCGUUAUAUACAACACCUUAAAAGACGUGCAUAAAUAUGAAAAAAAUUUCAAAUAUGCAUUGUUGCUACGUGUCAUUUCAAUGAAACAGUCUAGCAAAUAGACUAGGCACUACCAGAGCAAACAGAAGAUAGGAUUAAACAAGCAAAUUUUGACAGCAAUGGAGUGAAUACGUACAAGCAUCGAGCAUCGUUUAAUUGCAUGGUGGAUUAUAAUAUCUAGGCAAACAUGUAGGUCCUGUUAUAUUUAUAGUUAACAGACCUUUACUUGCUUCACAUGCGGAACUGGAACAAUAAAUUCACCAACAUCCAAAUCUCCAAUUGAUCGUGAUAGGCACAAGCCACCUGGCCAACAUCGCAGCGGACCAAUCUGAAAAAUCAGAAAAUAGACACUUCAUAAUUCAGAAAGCUUUCCUAAAAAAAUAAGCCUCAACAUUGCUGCAUAGAUGGAUGACAGCCUACUUAGGGAAAGCAAGAAUAAACAAUGAUCAAGGUGUCAAAGGUUCAAACAAACCUCAGCACCGCCAACAACAUUUAAUCUUCCAACCUCACCUCCACUUGCUAUUAUACGUUCCACCCUGCAGGGCAGCAAAUAUGGGUAAAAUUAGAUACUAAUAUCUGAAGAAACGAAAUCUAAAAAUCUAACAAAAAGUCAAAAGACUCGAAACCUACUCCUCUUCAUUAGCCUCUAGCCGAUGAUCAGCUGACAAAUAGUAAACUGAACCUUCAGCUGAUUCAAGUAUACAACGUGAAUCACCAACCGAUGCAACAGUUACAACCCAUCCGUCUAUUAUGACGAACGUCACGGUUGUCCCUGAAGUGUGAGCUGAAAGAGUCAAUAGUUAAUUUUCCAGAAGAGCAGAUCAAGGUAAGUAACAUUGAUCAACAACUAAUCAAAUACUCCACAAGAGUGAACAAGCAAGAACAUAAUGUGACGGUUUAUCAACAGACAUAGUUUCAACCCCUCAGAAAAUCUUAGAGAUUUAAUAACCAGUACUGUCAUGCUAACCAUAAUAAUGGUCACUUUCAAGUUCAAUCCAUAAUUUUAAAAAUAUAGAUAUACAAGAACUUUAAUCUAAAAGUGCAUGUGCACGCUGCAAAAAUGAAACCAUAGGAACCAUGACACCUUUUAGAAGAAACAGGCAUCUACUCAGUACAGAUAUGCACCUUUUGUUUGGAAAUCUUUAUCUGUUUUGACAAAUCCUGCAACCAAAGCUCGUGGAAGUGCAGCUAGCCAUUCAUCCCGGUUAAGAUCUGAAGGAAUGGCACUCACAAUAUUGUUCAGGAGAUUGUCCUUCGCAUAUAAUGCAGCUCCUGUUCCAUUAUGCCCAUCAAAUAGCUAGAAGAAAGGACAAAUUUGAUAAAAAUCAAUUAGAUAGUGCAAAAUUAACGUGACAGAGAUCUUCUGAGUUGAAUAUUUGCUCAUAGCACGCAAGAACUAGUAGGCAUGAAGUGCAAUUAAGCUCUGAGAUCUGGCGUGUGAUCAUAUGCUUAGACAAGAUAGUAACAAUUGCCUUUUUGUUCAAACAAGAGAGAAUCAUGCUACGUGAACAGAAAGAAACAGGAAAUAACAAGUCGAACAACGACAAUUUGUGUGAUGGGCCAACAUAAUGUUGGACAAAAAAUAUAUUGCUAACUAUGAAACAUAUAAUGAGCAAAUUAAUUAAUUACAUUAACAUGUCAUAUGGGGGACCAAAUACUAGAUAAGCAUUAAUUACAUCAAGAAGUACAAAAAUAAAGGGCAAAUAAUUGAUCGCCAUGCCACCAACAACCUAGAUUGUAGAGUAUACUCAAUAAAUGCAUUUCUAAAAUGCAGAAAGAAUAGCUCAAGAUUACAUUAGAUUGUGCCGACCACAUAAAAGGUUUCUCAACAACACUCACUGAGAAAUCAAAUGUCCAUUUGUAAGAGGUGCAGUAUCUGUACGAUUAAUACAUUUACUCCAUGGUAUAAGAUGGAUCAAACAGGUAGCAUUAACAAUGGAAGAUGAUCUUCCUAGAGUUUGUAAAGCCACUAAAAUCGCAUAGUAGCUUUAUUAAAAACAAUUUCUACUAGUUUUAGCACCUACAUUUACCUUUUUCCUUAGAAAAAAUAUUUGCGACUGGAUUCGGCCACCAUAUUACAUUUAAUAUAUAUGAUUAAAAGACAGGUCUACAAAAGAAAAAAAUUACGAAUAAGAUUAAAAAAAUUUUCAAAAAAAAAUAUAUAUAGAACCAACCAAUUCAAACCAUUCAUGUAUCAAAUAAAAAUCCAUGAUAUAUAUAUAUAUAUAUAUAUAUAUAUAUAUAUAUAUAUAUAUAUUAACAGGCAAUGUGAAUUAAGGUCGAGGAUGAAGAACACUUUAUAAAACUGUGACAACAUUUCUAGACGAUUCCUAACACAAUAUAUUCCACAAAACCCUUCAUUCCAUAACUUCUCCGAACAAAUCGCGCUCCCGAUAUACUACUAUGCAAUACACAUCGUUCUUGGCUCGUUAGGAUGUGUUGUGAAGAAGAGAGAGAGAGAGAGAGGAGAGAGAGAGAGAGAGGAGAUGGGGGAUAUACCGCGAAGACGGAGAAGUGGAGAGGCCUCGCGGGCACGCGCUCGCACUCGGUCUUGAGGAGGGUGAAGUCUUCCCCCUUUUGCUCUGGUUCGCCUGGCCGUGCAGUAUGUCCGGCCUCUCGAUCUUCUCGCUCGUCAGCUCCCUCUUCAGCAGCCACGCCAGCGGCACCAUCCGUUCCUCCGCCUUCGCCGCCAUCCCCGCCCCCAUCCUCUCUCUCUCUCUCUCUCUCUCUCUCUCUCUCCCUCCUCUUCUCCUACACUCUCCUCCUCCUCAACAGCAACAACAACAACAAUCUCGUUUCCCUUUCUCUAUUUCUCUCUCGCUCAACGCCUCUCCUCCCCCACAAUCUCCUCCUCUUCCUCAACGACAACAACAACAGCAACAAUGUCGUCUAUUUUGCUCUAGAUCGAAUCAAAAACAAGAAAGAAAAGAAAGAAAAAUCGAGCGGAGAAUCGGCGCUCACGCGCAUUCACCUCCCGGAGCGGAUUCGAGGGAUGGAUCGAUCGAUAAGAUGUUGAGCGAUCGAUCUCUUCACAUGCGGAGGAGGAUUCCACGGAUCGGUUACGUGACAGAGAGAGAGAGAGAGAGAGAGAGACGCGGAAAUGGUGCCACCCCUCCACGCGGAUUCGCCUCCCCCAAUUCGGGAAAUGCUCGGAAGCGAGGGUUAUGGAUCGAUGGGAGAGGAAGAAAAAAGGAAAGAAAGGUAAUUGAAAGGAAACGAAGCGAUUUAUUCUUUUUAGUAAUGCAUUUUUCUUUUUUUCUUUUCUUUUUCCCCCCUUUUUUUUUCCUCGCUUCGCAGAGAGAGAGAGAGAGAGAGAGAGAGAGACGAGGAGAGGAGGAGGCG
Molecule: long non-coding RNA, 26605 nt
Filed under: Ananas comosus (pineapple)
Lineage: Eukaryota; Viridiplantae; Streptophyta; Magnoliopsida; Poales; Bromeliaceae
Description: long non-coding RNA (ACOM_LNC004227)
Source: RNAcentral